GCAAUUUAUACAGUGAAACUGCGAAUGGCUCAUUAAAUCAGUUAUCGUUUAUUUGAUAGUUCCUUUACUACAUGGUAUAACUGUGGUAAUUCUAGAGCUAAUACAUGCUUAAAAUCUCGACCCUUUGGAAGAGAUGUAUUUAUUAGAUAAAAAAUCAAUGUCUUCGGACUCUUUGAUGAUUCAUAAUAACUUUUCGAAUCGCAUGGCCUUGUGCUGGCGAUGGUUCAUUCAAAUUUCUGCCCUAUCAACUUUCGAUGGUAGGAUAGUGGCCUACCAUGGUUUCAACGGGUAACGGGGAAUAAGGGUUCGAUUCCGGAGAGGGAGCCUGAGAAACGGCUACCACAUCCAAGGAAGGCAGCAGGCGCGCAAAUUACCCAAUCCUAAUUCAGGGAGGUAGUGACAAUAAAUAACGAUACAGGGCCCAUUCGGGUCUUGUAAUUGGAAUGAGUACAAUGUAAAUACCUUAACGAGGAACAAUUGGAGGGCAAGUCUGGUGCCAGCAGCCGCGGUAAUUCCAGCUCCAAUAGCGUAUAUUAAAGUUGUUGCAGUUAAAAAGCUCGUAGUUGAACUUUGGGCCCGGUUGGCCGGUCCGAUUUUUUCGUGUACUGGAUUUCCAACGGGGCCUUUCCUUCUGGCUAACCUUGAGUCCUUGUGGCUCUUGGCGAACCAGGACUUUUACUUUGAAAAAAUUAGAGUGUUCAAAGCAGGCGUAUUGCUCGAAUAUAUUAGCAUGGAAUAAUAGAAUAGGACGUUUGGUUCUAUUUUGUUGGUUUCUAGGACCAUCGUAAUGAUUAAUAGGGACGGUCGGGGGCAUCAGUAUUCAAUUGUCAGAGGUGAAAUUCUUGGAUUUAUUGAAGACUAACUACUGCGAAAGCAUUUGCCAAGGACGUUUUCAUUAAUCAAGAACGAAAGUUAGGGGAUCGAAGAUGAUCAGAUACCGUCGUAGUCUUAACCAUAAACUAUGCCGACUAGGGAUCGGGUGGUGUUUUUUUAAUGACCCACUCGGCACCUUACGAGAAAUCAAAGUCUUU
RNAcentral lists this ribosomal RNA (1031 nucleotides) under Saccharomyces cerevisiae (brewer's yeast). RNAcentral's name for it is "SSU rRNA". It matches the Rfam family "Eukaryotic small subunit ribosomal RNA", at positions 69 to 1108 of the family's 1831-position model. Lineage: Eukaryota; Fungi; Ascomycota; Saccharomycetes; Saccharomycetales; Saccharomycetaceae. The record is from RNAcentral.